ACAGCUGCCCCCAUUCCUUUUAACUUUCUUCUCCUGUAGGCAGUAGGCAUUGCCGCCGCACAGUUGCUCACUCUCGCAGCGGUAGCCCUUCGGCCAACAAAAACCUUCGGUUCAGCCGUUAAUCGUCGGCCGCUUUCUUCCUUGGGAGCUUUCUUUACCGGGCGCUUUCUUCCUCGGGUGUUUCUUCUUCGGGUUCAUCUAUCUUUCGGCCAUUCUCAGCUGGUCGAAACCCUGGUAAAACCUCUGCAGAAGCAGGCGAAAAGAAAGCAAGGAGAAUGAAUAGUCCAAAUCCAGUCCACGACGAAGAUGAUCAUGAUGAAGGCGAGGUUUUCCUCGACGAGUCUGAUAUCAUCCGCGAAGUUACCGUCGACGACGAAGAUCUUCCCGAUGCGGACGAUUAUGGUGGCUCUGAUGAUGAAAUUGCUGAAGGAAUUGAUGACUCUAUGCACAUAUUCACUGGUCAUACUGGUGAACUCUAUACCGUUGCCUGCAGUCCAACGGAUCCUACAUUAGUGGCAACUGGGGGCCAGGAUGACAAAGGGUUUCUUUGGAAGAUUGGUCUAGGAGAUUGGGCUUCUGAACUCCAGGGUCACACUGAUUCUGUAUCUAGUUUAGCCUUUAGUACGGAUGGACUGUUGCUUGCAUCUGGGGGGAUGGAUGGAUUUGUCCAAAUUUGGGAUGCUUCAUCAGGAAACUUUAAAUAUAAAUUUGAAAAUCCUGGAGGGGAAAUUGAGUGGGUCAGAUGGCAUCCAAGAGGGCAUCUUGUCUUGGCUGGUUCUGAGGACUCUAAUGCCUGGAUGUGGAAUGCUGAUAAAGGUGCCUUUCUUAAUAUGUUCUCUGGACAUGGCGGUAGGGUCACUUGUGGAGAUUUUACCCCUGAUGGCAAAACAAUCUGCACUGGAUCUGAUGAUGCAACCUUGAGGAUAUGGAAUCCAAGGAGUGGAGAAAAUGUUCAUGUUGUAAGAGGUCAUCCAUAUCACACUGCAGGACUGACGUGCCUGGCGCUGAGUUCAGAUUCUACUCUUGCCAUUACUGGUUCGCAGGACAAUUCUGUCCAUGUUGUGAAUAUAACAACUGGGAAGGUGGUUAGUUCUCUGGUUUCUCACUCAGAUUCAGUUGAAUGUGUUGGGCUUGCACCAAGUUCCCCUUGGGCUGCAACGGGAAGCUUGGAUCAGAAGCUUAUCAUUUGGGAUCUGCAGCAUUCAUCACCUCGCUCCACAUGUGACCAUGAGGAUGGAGUUGCAUGCUUGACAUGGCUUGGCGCAUCUAAAUACCUAGCUACAGGAUGUUUGGAUGGAAAAAUAAGAGUAUGGGAUAGUCUCUCUGGUGAUUGCAUAAGAACUUUCAGUGGACACGCUGGUGCCAUUCAAUCUCUCUCUGUGUCUGCUAAUCUGGAUUUCCUUGUUUCGGCUUCUAUUGAUGGAACUGCAAGAGUGUUUGAGAUUGCAGAGUUUCGGUAAGCAGAGCAAGUUGUUCAAUAUAUGAGAUGGAAUUCAAAGGAAAUUGAAAGGCAUAUUCCUGUCAAAGACUACAACACAGUGUACUCACUAUUUAUGCUUAAAAGUAAUUAAAUAAACACAAAGCUCUCAAGUGUGUUGUAUGUUAUGUUUAUUGAUUCAUUGUCUGAUAUCUUUAUGCUAAUUUUUGCAUGUCGAAAUUAAGUUUUGAGAACAGACUGAGAAAGUAUGGCUUUCAUCCUUAUCAUCUGAACAAAUUGAUAAAAACUGACUUGAA
This 1734-nucleotide unclassified non-coding RNA is filed under the name Hevea brasiliensis (rubber tree). Lineage: Eukaryota; Viridiplantae; Streptophyta; Magnoliopsida; Malpighiales; Euphorbiaceae. The record is from RNAcentral.